UCAGGAAUGCUUUUGCUUGCUUUGACGAAGAAGCAACAGGGUUUAUUCAAGAGGACUACCUGCGAGAGCUGCUGACGACAAUGGGAGACAGGUUCACAGACGAGGAGGUAGAUGAGCUCUACAGAGAGGCACCGAUCGACAAGAAGGGGAAUUUCAACUACAUUGAGUUCACGCGCAUCCUUAAACACGGAGCAAAAGACAAGGAUGACUGAGCAAAUCUUUGGAUGCCUGCAGAUUAUUUCUACUUUACACUUAUGUUUAUUUUUGAGGGUUUUUGAGGGUAGAAGUUGUUGCAUGCAUUUAGCUUUACAGCUUUUGCCUUUCUCAAUGUAUUUAUCUAUUCCAGGCCAUUUAGGCACAUCUGCACCUGUGUAAUCAGACUGGAAGUGGGGAACAUAUUGAGGAAAAGCAUAUGGGGACAAAGAUCAGUGAACUUUAAAGUCCAUGAAAAUAAUCUCAAUGUUUCUGGUUUAGCUGGAUUUUUACACUUUUUGUAACAAAUGCCAUUUUGAAAUAAAGUUUGCUAUAUAGAUUAAAAUAUCUCAUUCUUUUGUGGAGAGAGGAAUUUCUACUACGCAUUUACAAAUGCAGGUCUUAAUCAUAUUUUAUUUGCAGUUGCAAAUCAAGCUCAAACACAUUUUCAUAAUGUAUUGUUCUCUGUAGCAUAAUUAUGAAAUGCUCCUAGCAGUACAUGCUGGUGUCUUUAAAAAUGAAGCUGUAUAAAUCUGUUAUAACAGUUUUUCCAAGUGGAAUAUAACUGGUAUAAAUAGUUAGCCCAAGAAAUCUUCAGGGAAGACUUAGAAUUGCCUAAUUGCCAGCAGGGAGCAUUUAUGAUUCUUGCCUAGAGGCAGUUAUUUUGCCUAGUUUUUAUUUCCUUUUUCUAUUGAUAGUUUUUCAGCAAUAUUUUUAUAUCAAUGUUUGUGUUCCCAAGUUUGCAUUCCUUAGUUUGCAUUCCUGUUUUUUUAUACUGGCAAUAAGUGGGAAUUGGGCAUACUUUUUCCUUCUGUUGAAGGAAGCUCGUGCAAAGGCAUCUAUGGGGUAAAAAUGUCUGUGCUGGCGGUGAUUAAUAGCGAUACUUGUCCAGAAAACCUCCAUAAAUUUUGUUCUGCAGCUAAUGGCAUUUGCAUGGGAGAAUGUCAGCAAAAAAGUUCUUAGAAUUAACUUUGUAAACCCUAUGUGUGGUAAAACCACUCUCACUACUUAAAUGAUCAUAUGUUUUAUUCAUCUACCUGAUAUUGAUUAAAUGUCUUUUGCACAAACAAAAUUCAUUCAUACAAAAACAGCUGUGUUGAUGCUGUUCUCUUGAAUAACAAGAGAAAGUUCAUACUCAGUUCUCAGAAUGACUACAUCCUUCCAUAUUUCUCCUGCCCUUAGCUCCUACAAGCUAAGCUCCUACAAGCUAAAAAAGCAUAAGAGGAAUCCAUCUUGCCUACAUAACAAACUUACCUGUUCAAGAGAUGACCUGUUAACCAGAAACCCUGCCCUGAGCUAUUUCACGAGACCCAAAAGAAUAGGAAUCUUACUUUACCUAAAAGGUGUGAGAAGAUUGGGCCAAUAUGAAAUGCCCCAGGAUGCAAAUACUCUACAAAAAAAAUAGUGUUUGUCUAACUUCCCGUGUAGAGUCAUGGAUGACUUGGUUUCUUAAUCUUGCCUGUGUUCACAUGUUCUGUCUUUAGCUUUAUAAAUCAGAUGAUUUUACACACAAUAAGCAUACUUUGUUCAUUCCUUGUUGGUUUCGUUUACUUCUGGGCUUAAUUAAAAUUGCUUUUCACCAUUA
Molecule: long non-coding RNA, 1777 nt
Organism: Oxyura jamaicensis (ruddy duck)
Lineage: Eukaryota; Metazoa; Chordata; Aves; Anseriformes; Anatidae
Exons: 2
Source: RefSeq, a predicted model, not a curated record